AUGGGCUCCCGGCCUUUUGACUAAGAUCAAGUGUAGUAUCUGUUCUUAUCAAUUUAACUUAAUUCUUUUAAAUACAACUUUUAAUGUGGCCUUAUUUUUC
Molecule: small nuclear RNA, 100 nt
Gene: U2
Rfam family: U2 spliceosomal RNA
About the family: U2 is a small nuclear RNA (snRNA) component of the spliceosome (involved in pre-mRNA splicing). Complementary binding between U2 snRNA (in an area lying towards the 5' end but 3' to hairpin I) and the branchpoint sequence (BPS) of the intron results the bulging out of an unpaired adenosine, on the BPS, which initiates a nucleophilic attack at the intronic 5' splice site, thus starting the first of two transesterification reactions that mediate splicing.
Source: Ensembl